UAUUUCAUUCUUCAUCUCCAUCACCCCUAAUUUAACCCUAGCCGCCUUCAAACCGCUCACCACCACCGGUCGGCGGCACCACCCCAAACCUCCCCAAAACUUCACUUUAUAACCCUCAUCUUCCCCUCAACCCUAAUCCAUCAUCAUUUUUCCCAUAAAAUCACCCAAACGCCCUGAGUUUUAGAUUUGAGGAAAUCAAGAAAACCUUCAGUCUCUUCCUUUAUGUUUUUCUUCGAGUCAUGGUUUGUUUAGCUUCAAUACCAAAGACUGCUGCCUUGACCAUCUACGAACUACUAUUUCAUGGUAUUUUUAAGUUCAUGAGGUCUUCAAGAACAAAUGUUUUCCAUCACAUUUCACUCCCUUUGAUGUUCAGUGCUCAAAGUUGUCAUAUAUAGCACUAAAUGUGCUUUCGAGUAUUAAAUUAGUGUUCAUAUGACAAAAUUGAACACUGACCGGAUUCUUCUGCUGGAGCUUGGUCAAUCACCAGUCCUUCUUAGCUAGCAUUUGAGUGAUUGGCCAAAAAGGUUUAUGAAGGAUGCCCAAAUGGCUAUAUCUUUGUAAAUUUGGGAGUGGUUGGAAAAGGGGAAGAAGUCACCAGAUUGAAAGCAUAGAAUUAGAUUAGAUAUUGUUUUGUAUAACGGAAGACUGCCUUGGUUGAAUUCGAAUGUCGUUCAUGCUAUCACAGUUUCAUGCAGUUUGAUUCAAUCAAAUUUAUUUUUUAGAAUGAACAUCCAUGUUUAGCUUAAUCCAUAGUUAGCCUAUUUUCUUAUAAUGAUAUGUUUUAAGAUCCGAAGCCUCAAGACUCAAGCCUCAUUAUUACUGAACGUUGUGAUAUGAAUUGUUUCAUUUUUGAACCA
Nicotiana attenuata is the source of this 857-nucleotide long non-coding RNA. RefSeq lists it as uncharacterized. Lineage: Eukaryota; Viridiplantae; Streptophyta; Magnoliopsida; Solanales; Solanaceae. The record is from RefSeq and is a predicted model, not a curated record. The transcript is spliced from 2 exons.